Molecule: small nuclear RNA, 194 nt
Organism: Dermacentor andersoni
Lineage: Eukaryota; Metazoa; Arthropoda; Arachnida; Ixodida; Ixodidae
Product: U2 spliceosomal RNA
Source: RefSeq, a predicted model, not a curated record
ACACGGCCGACGCGGGUCAAAGUAUGGUAUCUGUUCUUAUCAGCUUAGUUACUGAUACCGGUUCGACUUGAGCCCAAGAUGUUAAACUUAUUUUUGCAAGUUGGCGGAGUGCUUUAAGCCUGCUCCACCUCCGCCGCGGGUCGGCACGGUAUUGCACUGUCUUUGCACUGUCUGGUGGGAUCGGCCCAUUGUUC